UACGUAGGUGGCGAGCGUUGUCCGGAAUUAUUGGGCGUAAAGGGCGCGUAGGCGGUUACUUAAGUCAGGUGUGAAAGCCCCCGGCUCAACUGGGGAGCGUCAUUUGAUACUGGGUAACUAGAGUGCAGGAGAGGAAAGUGGAAUUCCAUGUGUAGCGGUGAAAUGCGUAGAUAUAUGGAGGAACACCAGUGGCGAAGGCGGCUUUCUGGACUGCAACUGACGCUGAGGCGCGAAAGCUGGGGGAGCGAACGGG
This 253-nucleotide ribosomal RNA is filed under the name uncultured bacterium. Its description in RNAcentral is "partial 16S ribosomal RNA". It matches the Rfam family "Bacterial small subunit ribosomal RNA", at positions 524 to 776 of the family's 1533-position model. The record is from RNAcentral.